This is a long non-coding RNA of Zeugodacus cucurbitae (melon fly), 2992 nucleotides long. RefSeq lists it as uncharacterized. The record is from RefSeq and is a predicted model, not a curated record. The transcript has 4 exons. Lineage: Eukaryota; Metazoa; Arthropoda; Insecta; Diptera; Tephritidae.
AAUGAACUUAACUUUUGGACAUCAUACGGAAGUAAAAUGCUUCUAAUGAAUGCUUGCUGAAGCUGUUUGACGAUCAGUGUAAUCAGGCCUGAAAAAGCUGUAAGAAGUAGUGGCAAAUAGCUGCUUUCUUUCUAUUUAUUAGUGUACUGAACUAGAAUUAAUGAAUGCAAUUGUUAAAUAACGGUAACAACGGCGAACAAAGAAAGAAAGGUUGGCAAAACUAGAAGAUUGGCAGGCGGCUAGUAAAACGCUCCCUCUCUGCAACUGAAGGCAGUUAACAGCAAUCCAUCAUAGUUGCUGCCGUCGCUACCGCCAUUGAAGUGCGAGUAAAUGAGUGCCCUCGAAUGCUUCCCGGAAUAGAGUCAUCAAAGGCAUUGCUGUUGUAGCGGCAGAUCUAGCGACAGCGACAGGACAGAAUUAUAAAUUAUUAUUGCAAUUCAUUUGAGCGGAAAUUGCCGUAGACACACAUACAGCAGUACUUCUCUGGUGAUUCUAAAAGAAAGGCAGCUGACCACUCAUUUAGUUGAAACUAGAUAGAUGGAAGUGUUGCACAGUGUCUUAGAUUAUGUACUCUCUAGGAAAAUACACCAGUUCCUAGAAUAUACAGGUCCUGAAAUGAUAAAAACUUGGGAGGUAGAUGUAUUUGCUAUUUGUUGAAGUAUGUUUUAAGGAAACAUUUUCACUAGACCCUUAAUAGAUUGCGUGUCAUUAAAUAUCUUGCAAAUGCUAUAAUGCUCUGAAAAAAUAUCUUCCUUCAGUAAUCCUUACUGGGUACUUAAUGGUCAUAUAAAAUAGGCAGCAAAGUUAGGGAAGCAAAGAGAAUUUUGCCUCAAAGAAAAGGUGGCGCUCUAAGCACUACUCUUUUCACUAAAAAUUAAUUAUUAUACUGCUUGCAAAGAAUUUUGCGAAAUUCUACUUGAAAAAAAUAUGAUGGACAAUGUCUUGAGCAAUGGGUGAAUACUGCAGUAAAAGUGACAUGCAGCAAUAAAGUUGCAAACAAAGUAAAAUAGCGUUGAACCAUAACAGGCACUUAAGAGGCCCGUCAGCAUUGCCAAUGCCACUGAGGCUGCAUCCUCUCGACAGCAACAUUUUGCCAAAUGUGUUUUUAAUUACACCGCCAUUUCGAUGGAUUGCAGAAUUUAUAGACGCAAUAAUGGGCUCAUUCAUCAUUUAAUGGCGCGCAUAGAAGAGUCUGUCUACAGUGCUGUAAGUGUUUUUAAUAUGCACUUUUGCUUGAUGACUGCUUUUAUUAUUUUUAAAUUGUUAUUUAAUUGCCAUACACCUGGAACUUGGAUGGGGUGCAUUUACAUUGAAUCAUAAACUCGAGUUUAAGAUUUUUAUGAUUUUGAAUAAAAUUCUCGAUGGGAGAUACUCUUAAGGUACAGAGAGUAGAGGUGUUGGACAAUCGCUCUAUACUUAAACACCGAUCCUAUAAUUAUGAAACAAUUAUAAAGCGCGUUGAAAUCAGAGAGCUGGAUUUAAGGGCUUGCAGAUAAGCCGCACUUGGCGAGUCGGCAACUUGGCGGUUCCUAUUCUUUGCCAGCAAUAGCAUUAAAAAGAGUGUAUCUAAGCAGUAACCACGCCUGCUGAAGUAAUAAACACAUCAAAAUGUGCAAGAAAUCGAAAUCGCAGUGCCACUGGCUGGCAGGCGGCUGCUUCCUUAUAUCGGCUGCACAUAAUUCACUGUCAAUUUCGUUGCGAUGACGAUGGCAAUGGAUGAAAAUCAAACCAUAUAAUUAAAGGUGUAAAAACCCAUCCAUUAUUAUUAUUAUGGCGUGCCGAAGUUUUAUUGUCGCCGAAGGAAGCUGGCAAUUGCAUUCGGGGAGUCAAAAUGGAUUUGCGAUGGUAGCGUGAAUUGCUGUGGGGCAGUUUUUUUUUAGAUAUAUAAGUAACCUGAUUAAUACAGUAAGAGGUGAUUUUGUUGUAUUUUAUUUUAAAAAGUGUAAAAAGCCGCAUUAGUCCUCUUAAUCGAAUAUCAGUAUUAUAUAAUACAAAAAAAGCACAGAAAAGAGGAGAAAGAAAUUACGUAAUUUUAUCUAAACCGACUCUUUGAGGUCAGGUCGGGAUAUGACCUCAUCAUCUCAAACAUUGAAUCACUGACGCGUUGUGAUUUACUUAAGAAUUUAUCAGCCCGUUUUUAAAUACUUCAAAAUAUUUAUAUGAAGGUUUAGAACUCAUAGCGACUUCUUCCUAACCCCAUGAAUUUUCUGAACAGUUAGCUACGAAAAAACUUGAAAAUUGUUUAAGCCAAAAUGAAAAAAUAACUGUGCUCUUUCAACAUUUUUUACAAGCUUUUCAACACCUAACGGCGCAACUGGCAAGUGCUAUUCGCAACAGCUUUGUCGCAUGCGCAUAUUCUUCAACGCCAUCUUAGACUCAGCACCUGCAUGCUGAGUGCCAUUACAUACAGUUUAAAUUUAGCUGUGCUCGCUGCUGCUCAGCAACUUGAUUUAUGUUCUACAUGACACCCGCUGCUCGAGCCAUCAGCAUUGAAUGGCCAACGGCUGCUGGCUGCUUCAGCUUCCUUAAUAACAAAAACUUAUUUUUGCCGGACAGUGACUACUAGCUCAAUAUAGAGCUGCUCAAGGUGUGCGCUCAAGUGUACCUGGUUGCAUGUCAGCGACUAGCUGAGAUUACUUUCUUGCCACCUUCCUUAGUUAGCGCUGGCAUUGUAAGCCUGCCAUACUUGCCGCAGCCGCACUCAGUAUUUAUAGCUAUUUAAAAUGCAAAUUGAAGAUCAGAACUUUAAUGUGGCACAAUCACUUAGAGCACAGCACAUAGCAUAAGAUGGUGCAUGCAAAAUGCCACAUGUGCCACCUGAACAGCACACAUGCCACUUUUGCAUCGGGUUGACAGCAUAUUGCCACAUGUGGCACAGACUACAGGCAACUGGCGUUCUUCCGCCUCAGCACGGCCAACAACAACUGCAUUUACAUAGAAAUGUUAUUAACGUCAUUAGCGUGACAUUUGUAACGCGCUGCUUGUCGAGAGA